RNAcentral lists this ribosomal RNA (252 nucleotides) under uncultured bacterium. Its description in RNAcentral is "partial 16S ribosomal RNA". It matches the Rfam family "Bacterial small subunit ribosomal RNA", at positions 524 to 776 of the family's 1533-position model. The record is from RNAcentral.
UACGUAGGUGGCAAGCGUUAUCCGGAUUUACUGGGCGUAAAGCGAGCGCAGGUGGUUUAUUAAGUCUGGUGUAAAAGGCAGUGGCUCAACCAUUGUAUGCAUUGGAAACUGGUAGACUUGAGUGCAGGAGAGGAGAGUGAAAUUCCAUGUGUAGCGGUGAAAUGCGUAGAUAUAUGGAGGAACACCGGUGGCGAAAGCGGCUCUCUGGCCUGUAACUGACACUGAGGCUCGAAAGCGUGGGGAGCAAACAGG